CCUACGGGAGGCAGCAGUGAGGAAUAUUGGUCAAUGGGCGCGAGCCUGAACCAGCCAAGUCGCGUGAGGGAGGACGGCCCUACGGGUUGUCAACCUCUUUUGCCGGGGAGCAACGGGCGCCACGUGUGGCGUCACUGAGAGUACCCGGAGACAAAGCAUCGGCUAACUCCGUGCCAGCAGCCGCGGUAAUACGUAGGAUGCGAGCGUUAUCCGGAUUUAUUGGGUUUAAAGGGUGCGUAGGCGGAUCGUUAAGUCAGUGGUCAAAUUGCGGGGCUCAACCCCUUCCCGCCAUUGAAACUGGCGUUCUGGAGUGGGAGAGAAGUAUGCGGAAGGCGUGGUGUAGCGGUGAAAUGCAUAGAUAUCACGCAGAACCCCGAUGGCGAAGGCAGCAUGCCGGCUUCCGACUGACGCUGAAGCACGAAAGCGUGGGGAUCGAACAGGAUUAGAUACCCUUGUAGUC
RNAcentral lists this ribosomal RNA (460 nucleotides) under uncultured bacterium. Its description in RNAcentral is "partial 16S ribosomal RNA". It matches the Rfam family "Bacterial small subunit ribosomal RNA", at positions 338 to 795 of the family's 1533-position model. The record is from RNAcentral.